UAUUUUGUGCCACCGGACGCGGCGACGGA
Molecule: non-coding RNA, 29 nt
Filed under: Bombyx mori (domestic silkworm)
Lineage: Eukaryota; Metazoa; Arthropoda; Insecta; Lepidoptera; Bombycidae
Source: RNAcentral